This 559-nucleotide small RNA is filed under the name Arabidopsis thaliana (thale cress). RNAcentral describes it as "ATSL205530". Lineage: Eukaryota; Viridiplantae; Streptophyta; Magnoliopsida; Brassicales; Brassicaceae. The record is from RNAcentral.
ACAUGAAAAAGAAGGAAAAUGGACUAUGAAUGCAUAAAAAGAGACGCGAAACUACGUUAAAUGCAUGAAAAACAAGGGCUUAAACUGGUAAAAUCUAGCGUUAUCAACACCCCCAAACUUAGCUCUUUGCUUGUCCUCAAGCAACAAAUAGAACUAAGGUAGGAGUGAGGUUUGAAGGUGGGGAUUCAGAGCCAAAAUAUGCAUGUAGAGUAAAUGGGUUCAAUGUCCAUAUUGAUAAGUUGAAUGAUCUUUACUUAAAAACUUUAGCCAUCUUCUUCACAACACAACCUAACUUCUUACUUAGUCCAUUCAAGCAUUCAAAUAAGCAUAUUCCCUUUAACAUUCAUUAAGUAAGAACCAUAUAUCACACUAUGCAAUGUGUAUUGAACUCAUUUGGCUAAGGAUAAAGGGUCAAGAGACAAAAAUGGUCCCUUAAAGAAUAGGCUUAACUAACAAGGGAUCUUUCAAGAAUGAUUAAGUUUUAGUAAAAUGCUAAAGGUAAGUCCCAAGUUAUGCAUACAGAGAUAAGAUCCCAUCUACCCAAAGUAUAACCUAUGAA